RNAcentral lists this ribosomal RNA (1346 nucleotides) under uncultured bacterium. RNAcentral's name for it is "partial 16S ribosomal RNA". It matches the Rfam family "Bacterial small subunit ribosomal RNA", at positions 28 to 1381 of the family's 1533-position model. The record is from RNAcentral.
GACGAACGCUGGCGGCGUGCUUAACACAUGCAAGUCGAACGGAAAGGCCCUGCUUUUGUGGGGUGCUCGAGUGGCGAACGGGUGAGUAACACGUGAGUAACCUGCCCUUGACUUUGGGAUAACUUCAGGAAACUGGGGCUAAUACCGGAUAGGAGCUCCUGCUGCAUGGUGGGGGUUGGAAAGUUUCGGCGGUUGGGGAUGGACUCGCGGCUUAUCAGCUUGUUGGUGGGGUAGUGGCUUACCAAGGCUUUGACGGGUAGCCGGCCUGAGAGGGUGACCGGCCACAUUGGGACUGAGAUACGGCCCAGACUCCUACGGGAGGCAGCAGUGGGGAAUAUUGCACAAUGGGCGGAAGCCUGAUGCAGCAACGCCGCGUGCGGGAUGACGGCCUUCGGGUUGUAAACCGCUUUCGCCUGUGACGAAGCGUGAGUGACGGUAAUGGGUAAAGAAGCACCGGCUAACUACGUGCCAGCAGCCGCGGUGAUACGUAGGGUGCGAGCGUUGUCCGGAUUUAUUGGGCGUAAAGGGCUCGUAGGUGGUUGAUCGCGUCGGAAGUGUAAUCUUGGGGCUUAACCCUGAGCGUGCUUUCGAUACGGGUUGACUUGAGGAAGGUAGGGGAGAAUGGAAUUCCUGGUGGAGCGGUGGAAUGCGCAGAUAUCAGGAGGAACACCAGUGGCGAAGGCGGUUCUCUGGGCCUUUCCUGACGCUGAGGAGCGAAAGCGUGGGGAGCGAACAGGCUUAGAUACCCUGGUAGUCCACGCUGUAAACGGUGGGUACUAGGUGUGGGGUCCAUUCCACGGGUUCCGUGCCGUAGCUAACGCUUUAAGUACCCCGCCUGGGGAGUACGGCCGCAAGGCUAAAGCUCAAAGGAAUUGACGGGGCCCCGCACAAGCGGCGGAGCAUGCGGAUUAAUUCGAUGCAACGCGUAGAACCUUACCUGGGUUUGACAUGGAUCGGGAGUGCUCAGAGAUGGGUGUGCCUCUUUUGGGGUCGGUUCACAGGUGGUGCAUGGCUGUCGUCAGCUCGUGUCGUGAGAUGUUGGGUUAAGUCCCGCAACGAGCGCAACCCUUGUUCACUGUUGCCAGCACGUUAUGGUGGGGACUCAGUGGAGACCGCCGGGGUCAACUCGGAGGAAGGUGGGGAUGACGUCAAGUCAUCAUGCCCCUUAUGUCCAGGGCUUCACGCAUGCUACAAUGGCUGGUACAGAGAGUGGCGAGCCUGUGAGGGUGAGCGAAUCUCGGAAAGCCGGUCUCAGUUCGGAUUGGGGUCUGCAACUCGACCUCAUGAAGUCGGAGUCGCUAGUAAUCGCAGAUCAGCAACGCUGCGGUGAAUACGUUCCCGGGGCU